GGGCGUAUGAUGUAAGGAACAGCAUAUUUCUCUUCUAAAGAAAUCGACUAGGUUUGAAUCCUAGUAUGCCCACCA
RNAcentral lists this transfer RNA (75 nucleotides) under compost metagenome. RNAcentral describes it as "tRNA-Arg". It matches the Rfam family "tRNA". Rfam says of the family: Transfer RNA (tRNA) molecules are approximately 80 nucleotides in length. Their secondary structure includes four short double-helical elements and three loops (D, anti-codon, and T loops). The record is from RNAcentral.